AUAUAUAUAUAUAUAUAUAUAUACAUACAUACAUAAAAAUUGUUGUAAUAACAUCGUUUGCCCUUUGGGUGGCACUGCACCACUUGCAAUGCAUCCCCACUACAUUCAAGUUUUACCCUUUCUUCCUUUCAUUAAUAUUCGUGAGACAUAAAUGACUGUUGGUAAUCUUGUUUAAAAAGGUGUAAGAUUUCCCUCCUAGUUGUGUAUAAUACAAUGCGUUCAAACUAUGACAUACUGUGCUAUUAUGAUACGUGAAUAAAAAUGCAAGCUUUUGUAGCAUGACCCCAAAUAAAUACGGAAGUUGUCACCGACCUAGCGUGUGGGCGUGAGGCGUCGCCUUCAUGGUUCACCUGUCUGCUCCGUGUCUGCUUUCAGAGGGAGGUCCCAACACGCUCCUUCCCCGUCAUAAUAAAGUCGCCUUGGGACGCCUCAUUGGGGAGUGAAUGAAUCAAACGGGCCCUCGAGGGAUCGCUAUAAUGCUGCGAGUACCCGCUUGUUGGGAUGUGAGGGAUUUUGACGAUACCUGCAUGCGACUUGUCCAGGGUGUAUGCAGCUGGGAAAGGCUACGGCCACCCCCCGCGACACCGAGAGGGACAAAAUGGAUGAAUGGAUGUCAUUUAUCAACAUAUUGUACA
Nerophis ophidion (straightnose pipefish) is the source of this 635-nucleotide long non-coding RNA. RefSeq lists it as uncharacterized. NCBI's taxonomy places the organism in Eukaryota, Metazoa, Chordata, Actinopteri, Syngnathiformes, Syngnathidae. The record is from RefSeq and is a predicted model, not a curated record. The transcript is spliced from 3 exons.